This 465-nucleotide ribosomal RNA is filed under the name uncultured Klebsiella sp. Its description in RNAcentral is "bacterial SSU rRNA". It matches the Rfam family "Bacterial small subunit ribosomal RNA", at positions 338 to 795 of the family's 1533-position model. Lineage: Bacteria; Pseudomonadati; Pseudomonadota; Gammaproteobacteria; Enterobacterales; Enterobacteriaceae. The record is from RNAcentral.
CCUACGGGCGGCUGCAGUGGGGAAUAUUGCACAAUGGGCGCAAGCCUGAUGCAGCCAUGCCGCGUGUGUGAAGAAGGCCUUCGGGUUGUAAAGCACUUUCAGCGGGGAGGAAGGCGGUGAGGUUAAUAACCUCAUCGAUUGACGUUACCCGCAGAAGAAGCACCGGCUAACUCCGUGCCAGCAGCCGCGGUAAUACGGAGGGUGCAAGCGUUAAUCAGAAUUACCGGGCGUAAAGCGCACGCAGGCGGUCUGUCAAGUCGGAUGUGAAAUCCCCGGGCUCAACCUGGGAACUGCAUUCGAAACUGGCAGGCUAGAGUCUUGUAGAGGGGGGUAGAAUUCCAGGUGUAGCGGUGAAAUGCGUAGAGAUCUGGAGGAAUACCGGUGGCGAAGGCGGCCCCCUGGACAAAGACUGACGCUCAGGUGCGAAAGCGUGGGGAGCAAACAGGAUUAGAUACCCCUGUAGUC